GACGAACGCUGGCGGCGUGCUUAACACAUGCAAGUCGAACGGAAAGGCCCUGCUUUUGUGGGGUGCUCGAGUGGCGAACGGGUGAGUAACGCGUGAGUAACCUGCCCUUGACUUUGGGAUAACUUCAGGAAACUGGGGCUAAUACCGGAUAGGAGCUCCUGCUGCAUGGUGGGGGUUGGAAAGUUUCGGCGGUUGGGGAUGGACUCGCGGCUUAUCAGCUUGUUGGUGGGGUAGUGGCUUACCAAGGCUUUGACGGGUAGCCGGCCUGAGAGGGUGACCGGCCACAUUGGGACUGGGAUACGGCCCAGACUCCUACGGGAGGCAGCAGUGGGGAAUAUUGCACAAUGGGCGGAAGGCUGAUGCAGCAACGCCGCGGGCGGGAUGACGGCCUUCGGGUUGUAAACCGCUUUCGGCUGUGACGAAGCGUGAGUGAAGGUAAUGGGUAAAGAAGCACCGGCUAACUACGUG
RNAcentral lists this ribosomal RNA (468 nucleotides) under uncultured bacterium. Its description in RNAcentral is "partial 16S ribosomal RNA". It matches the Rfam family "Bacterial small subunit ribosomal RNA", at positions 28 to 507 of the family's 1533-position model. The record is from RNAcentral.